RNAcentral lists this ribosomal RNA (253 nucleotides) under uncultured bacterium. Its description in RNAcentral is "partial 16S ribosomal RNA". It matches the Rfam family "Bacterial small subunit ribosomal RNA", at positions 524 to 776 of the family's 1533-position model. The record is from RNAcentral.
UACGUAGGGUGCAAGCGUUAAUCGGAAUAACUGGGCGUAAAGAGUGCGUAGGCGGAUAAAUAAGUUAGAUGUGAAAAACCUGGGCUUAACCUAGGUCUUGCAUUUAAGACUGUAUAUCUAGAGUUUGUAAGAGGGGGGUAGAAUUCCAGGUGUAGCAGUGAAAUGCGUAGAGAUCUGGAGGAAUACCGAUGGCGAAGGCAGCCCCCUGGUAUAGAACUGACGCUGAGGCACGAAAGCGUGGGUAGCAAACAGG